CAGCCGCCGCGGUAAAACGUAGGGGGCAAGCGUUAUCCGGAAUUACUGAGUGUAAAGGGAGCGUAGACGGUUAAACAAGUCCGAAGUGAAGUGCCGGGGCUCAACCCCGGAGCUGCUUUGGGAACUGUAGAACUGGAGUGUCGGAGGGGUAAGCGGAAUUCCCAGUGUAGCGGUGAAAUGCGUAGAUAUAUGGAGGAACACCGGUGGCGAAAGCGGCUCUCUGGUCUGUAACUGACGCUGAGGCUCGAAAGCGUGGGGAGCGAACAGGAUUAGAGACCCGCGUAGUCCCUGUCUCUUAUAC
This 301-nucleotide ribosomal RNA is filed under the name uncultured bacterium. RNAcentral's name for it is "partial 16S ribosomal RNA". It matches the Rfam family "Bacterial small subunit ribosomal RNA", at positions 509 to 807 of the family's 1533-position model. The record is from RNAcentral.